GAUAAGAACGUAGCGAAAUGCGAUAAGUAAUGUGAAUUGCAGAAUUCAGUGAAUCAUCGAAUCUUUGAACGCACAUUGCGCCCAUUAGCAUUCUAGUGGGCAUGCCUGUUCGAGCGUCAUUUCAACCCUUAAGCCCUGUUGCUUAGCGUUGGGAGCCUACAGUACUGUAGCUCCCCAAAGUUAGUGGCGGAGUCGGUUUCACACUCUAGACGUAGUAAUUUUUUCUCGUCUGUAGUUGAGCCGGUCCCCUGCCGUAAAACACCCAAUUUAUCAAGGUUGACCUCGGAUCAGGUAGGAAUACCCGCUGAACUUAAGCAUAUCAAUAAGCGGAGGA
This 334-nucleotide unclassified non-coding RNA is filed under the name soil metagenome. RNAcentral's name for it is "partial contains 5.8S ribosomal RNA, internal transcribed spacer 2, and large subunit ribosomal RNA". The stretch from base 4 to 119 matches the Rfam family "5.8S ribosomal RNA", at positions 39 to 154 of the family's 154-position model. The record is from RNAcentral.